RNAcentral lists this long non-coding RNA (412 nucleotides) under Capsicum annuum. Its description in RNAcentral is "long non-coding RNA (CANN_LNC002946)". Lineage: Eukaryota; Viridiplantae; Streptophyta; Magnoliopsida; Solanales; Solanaceae. The record is from RNAcentral.
ACAUUUAAAUUUAAAGAAAAAGUAAUUAAUGCAUUGUGUAAAACAUGAAAUUUUUUUUAAUCUCUUCUUGAUUAAUGUAAAAGAAUAAGUGAAAUAGGAAAUCGAAUUAGAAAAUUUGGGACUGGUAAUUUGAGACAGAGGGAGUAUCAUAUUAAAAUAAAUAUUUAUUUUAUUUAUUUAAUAUGCUAAAAAUAAAUACUAUAUUUAUUUUUAUUUAUUUAAUUUGAAAAAUUAAAAAUAAUUUAUAAUUUAAUCCCUAAUAUAUCCUUAUUAUAAAAUAUAAUCAAUCCCUAAAGGCUUUGAUACCAAUUGUAGAGGGGGUGCGGAAGUAGAUAAAUUAAUUAUGUUGUUUAAAAUUAUGGAAGUAGUAUAUAUUUGGAUUUAUUUGAUUAAUUUAUUAUUUGAUUAAUUU